RNAcentral lists this non-coding RNA (22 nucleotides) under Arabidopsis thaliana (thale cress). Lineage: Eukaryota; Viridiplantae; Streptophyta; Magnoliopsida; Brassicales; Brassicaceae. The record is from RNAcentral.
CUAGACAACUGGGUGUGAUCGG